CGUGUAGGCGGCUUGGUAAGUCAGAUGUGAAAGCCCUGGGCUCAACCCGGGAAGUGCAUUUGAAACUGUCAGGCUCGAGUAGGGGAGAGGGAAGUGGAAUUCCUGGUGUAGAGGUGAAAUUCGUAGAUAUCAGGAGGAACACCGGUGGCGAAGGCGACUUCCUGGCCCUAUACUGACGCUGAGACGCGAGAACGUGGGUAGCAAACA
This 207-nucleotide ribosomal RNA is filed under the name uncultured Pseudomonadota bacterium. RNAcentral's name for it is "uncultured proteobacterium partial 16S ribosomal RNA". It matches the Rfam family "Bacterial small subunit ribosomal RNA", at positions 568 to 774 of the family's 1533-position model. The record is from RNAcentral. Lineage: Bacteria; Pseudomonadati; Pseudomonadota.